CAGACUUCCUGCUUUGCAUGUGGCCUGUUAAUAUCGGAGGGGAACAUCCGAGUGGAGGUCUCCUCCUUCCUCGCCCUGGCCUUGCCCUCCUGGGACGUUUUUGGGUAGUUUCCCAGUGUCACACUCACAGACGUGGAGCAGUUGGUCUGUUUAAAACAGAUAACGACUUGAGUUUCUUCCUGAAGAGAACGGCCAAGGUCCCGUCUUCGUCUGCCCUCUGGUGGCUGCGGUUCGGUACAGAAAGUUCAACAGAAGAGCUCACUUGAAGAAAAGCAGAGGCCCAGUUUGUCAGCACAUGGCAAAGCUCUGCCGUGCUAAUUAAUACUGCCGUUGCGGUCGAACACACGGAAUGCUUCCGUAAUUUCUUCUUCACGGGCUGGUUCUCACGCCGUCACUGUCAGAAGUUCCCGGGAGGCAGCGGUGCUUUGCCGUCAGCAUCUGCUGCACUAACCAUGUCCUGGAACCGCUUCUGUGGGAUUCUGCCCCAUACACUCUAUGUUAACUAACUUGAACUUAAAUGAAAAAAACAAAAACAAAAAUGAAAAACCAAAGCAAUGUUGGAGCAAUUCCUAAAACUCCUAGCAAAAAUCUGU
Molecule: long non-coding RNA, 593 nt
Filed under: Ursus maritimus (polar bear)
Lineage: Eukaryota; Metazoa; Chordata; Mammalia; Carnivora; Ursidae
Description: lncRNA (ENSUMAG00000013730.1)
Source: RNAcentral